RNAcentral lists this ribosomal RNA (325 nucleotides) under uncultured eukaryote. RNAcentral describes it as "partial 18S ribosomal RNA". It matches the Rfam family "Eukaryotic small subunit ribosomal RNA", at positions 1470 to 1796 of the family's 1831-position model. The record is from RNAcentral.
CCCUUAGAUGUUCUGGGCCGCACGCGCGCUACACUGAUGCGUUCAACGAGCCUAUCCUUGACCGACAGGUCCGGGUAAUCUUUGAAUCUGCAUCGUGACGGGGAUAGAUUAUUGCAAUUAUUAAUCUUCAACGAGGAAUGCCUAGUAGGCGCAAGUCAUCAGCUUGCGUCGAUUACGUCCCUGCCCUUUGUACACACCGCCCGUCGCUCCUACCGAUUGGGUGUGCUGGUGAAAUGUUCGGAUCGGCCGUUUGUCGCGGUUUCCGCGUCAUGUGGCUGAGAAGUUCAUUAAACCCUCCCACCUAGAGGAAGGGGAAGUCGUAACA